RNAcentral lists this small nuclear RNA (265 nucleotides) under Octodon degus (degu). RNAcentral's name for it is "7SK RNA (ENSODEG00000024041.1)". It matches the Rfam family "7SK RNA", at positions 1 to 277 of the family's 331-position model. From Rfam's summary of the family: 7SK was discovered as an abundant small nuclear RNA in the mid-70s but a possible function has only recently been suggested. Two independent studies have found that 7SK RNA binds the CDK9/cyclin T complex (known as elongation factor P-TEFb). The record is from RNAcentral. Lineage: Eukaryota; Metazoa; Chordata; Mammalia; Rodentia; Octodontidae.
GGAUGUGAGGGUGAUCUGGCUGCGACAUCUGUCAACCCACUGACUGCCCGGGUUGAUUUGGCUGAUCUGGCUGGCAAGGCUGGAGUCCCCUUCUUCCCUAAAUGCUCCAUAUGUGUCCCUCCUGAAGCUGCAUGCUUGGUUGAAGAGGACAACCACCCCUGAUUGAGGAGGACUGUUCCUUGGUCAAGGCUACAUGGGUAGCUGUGCUCCCCUGCUAGAACCUCCAAACAAGUUCUCGGGGUAGGGCCAGGGCUGCUGAGCCCCA